Nycticebus coucang (slow loris) is the source of this 105-nucleotide small nuclear RNA. Lineage: Eukaryota; Metazoa; Chordata; Mammalia; Primates; Lorisidae. The record is from RefSeq and is a predicted model, not a curated record.
GUGCUUGCUUGGCAUCACAUAUACUAAAUUGGAACAAUGCCGAGAAGAUUAGCAUGGCCCCCGAGCAAGGAUAACACCCCAAUUGGUGAAGCAUUCCAUAUUUUU